AGUGAACGCUGGCGGUAGGCCUAACACAUGCAAGUCGAACGGCAGCACAGUAAGAGCUUGCUCUUACGGGUGGCGAGUGGCGGACGGGUGAGGAAUACAUCGGAAUCUACAUUUUCGUGGGGGAUAACGUAGGGAAACUUACGCUCAUACCGCAUACGACCUACGGGUGAAAGCAGGGGAUCUUCGGACCUUGCGCGAUUGAAUGAGCCGAUGUCGGAUUAGCUAGUUGGCGGGGUAAAGGCCCACCAAGGCGACGAUCCGUAGCUGGUCUGAGAGGAUGAUCAGCCACACUGGAACUGAGACACGGUCCAGACUCCUACGGGAGGCAGCAGUGGGGAAUAUUGGACAAUGGGCGCAAGCCUGAUCCAGCCAUACCGCGUGGGUGAAGAAGGCCUUCGGGUUGUAAAGCCCUUUUGUUGGGAAAGAAAAGCAGCAGGUUAAUACCCCGCUGUUCUGACGGUACCCAAAGAAUAAGCACCGGCUAACUUCGUG
RNAcentral lists this ribosomal RNA (492 nucleotides) under uncultured bacterium. Its description in RNAcentral is "partial 16S ribosomal RNA". It matches the Rfam family "Bacterial small subunit ribosomal RNA", at positions 29 to 507 of the family's 1533-position model. The record is from RNAcentral.